This 211-nucleotide long non-coding RNA is filed under the name Elaeis guineensis (African oil palm). RNAcentral describes it as "long non-coding RNA (EGUI_LNC004830)". Lineage: Eukaryota; Viridiplantae; Streptophyta; Magnoliopsida; Arecales; Arecaceae. The record is from RNAcentral.
ACUGUUCAUAAAAUUGAUGUAAUGUAAGGUAGUUGUUAUCCUACAAUCCUGUAUACUUGAAUAUUUUACAAUCCAUUAAAAUGCAUAGAUAGAUCUAAAGCUCAAGUGUGGUAUAAAUUUAAGCAUAGGACCAAGAAAUUCGAAUGUUUUUUAUAGAUCCUUUAUGAGCUAGCUAUAUGAAUUUAGAAUUUGAAGUUUGUUUGAAGCUGGA